Molecule: long non-coding RNA, 2566 nt
Filed under: Marmota monax (woodchuck)
Lineage: Eukaryota; Metazoa; Chordata; Mammalia; Rodentia; Sciuridae
Source: RNAcentral
ACAUAAAUAAGUUAAAUAAAUAGUGGAUUAGAUGGGGGUAAAUGACAAGGAGAAAAAUGAGACUAGUAAAGGGAGUUGGGAGUAUGGGAGGGAGGGAUUUGCAAUUUUAGAUUAGAUAAACAGAAGGGCCUCAGCAAUGAGGUAACACUGGAGCCAAGACCUGAAGGCGAUGAGGCAGCAAGCCACACAGUGUGGGGAAAGAGUAUAAUAGAGGAGAAACCAGCUAGUGCAAAGGCCCUGCGGCCCAAGUGUAUCUGGCAUGGAUAGGAACUGGCCAGGAGGCAAAUGUGACUGGAGUAAGAGAGGAAUGGAAGAUGGGUCUAAGAGGUACCAGGUAUGCACUCUGAGACAUUGAGAGGACUUGGGCUUUUACUUUUCCACUGGAGGAGUUGGAGUAGGCCAGAGACAUGCACUGACUUAAAUUUCUGGCUGCCAUAUUGAGAGCAGACUGAAUAGGGGCAUAGGCAGAAGUGGGGAGACCAGUGAGGGGGUUGUUGCAAUAAGCCUGGUAGCAGAUGAGGGGGCUUGGAGAGAGCACAGCGAUGGAGGUGGUGAGACCUGUUAGAAGUGGGGGUGUAUUUAGAAAUGCCAGGAGCAUUUACUGAGCCUUUACAUCCAGCUUUUGGGGGUGUAUCCGAGAGGGAGGGCGGAGCCAACUCUGAAGUCUUUGUGUGAACAGCUGAAGGAGGGGGUGCUGCACAGGAAUGGGAGGCCCAGGAGCAGUUUUAGCAUCUUAGUUUUGAGGUGCCUGUCAGGGGAGUGGUCUGGGCUGGAAGUGUAGCCUCGGGAGGUAUUAGUGUCGGGAUGUCGCGUGUCAUGUGAGAUGGCCUUGGUCAUGGGCCUUUCAGUGGACUCUAAAAGCGCUGGACCCUGUCCUGUGUCACCUUGCCCUCCCACAAACCCGGAGGAAGUGCUAGAAUCACCCCCAUUAUACAGAAAGGAACACUGAAACCCACAAGGGCCAGGGCCACACUGCAGAAACACUGGCAGGAAAGAGCAGAUUUGGGAUGCCCACUGACAUCUGUCUUAUUUCAACCCUCGGGCUUUUAACCCACACCACACUAUUGCAACUUCUUUUAAGCCUCAUGGUUUUUCCUCCUUCCUUCAUUCUUUCCGUUCUUUUUUAUCUUCAAGAUUCUUACUUUUGGCUUUCAGGUAAAAGCUUUGGGAGAGGUCUAACCGUAGUUGGAAUUAACACUUGACCUUUAAAAAAUUCUUAAAUUUUUGGGGGGCUGGGCAUAUGGCUCAAGCGGUAAUGUGCUCUCCUGGCAUGCACGGGGCACAGGGUUCAAUCCUCAGCAUCACAUAAAAAUAAAAUAAAGAUGUUGUGUCCACCGAAAACUAAAAAAAAAAAUAUUAAAAAAUUCUCUCUCUCUUUCUAUCUUAAAAAAAUUCUUAAAUUUUUUAUUAUGCAGAUUUUUAUACAUGUGAAGAGUGGAUAGUAUGAUAAAUGAUACCAAUCCAUCACCUCAUUGUUUUUGUAGUAAAAUGGGGAUGCAAUACCCACUUCAUACUGGGAGGAAUGAGUAGGAAGUCCAGAGUUGUCCAGUGUCCACAAGUGUCAGCAUGUGGGAGAUCACCUUUCUUAUCUACCUCUACCUCCCCACACUCCUUGUCCCCACAACAGAUCGUUAUGAAACAAAUCUCAAACAUCAUUGCGACUUCAUCUUUAAAUUCAGUUAAUAUCUUUAUUACUUGAUUUAAUUAAAAAUCAUUACUCUGUCAGGUUGUGUGCUGUUUUUUUUUCUUUAAUUGGUUGUUCAGUGUGUUAUGUUCUAGUAAAUUCCUACUCAUCUUGCAGAGCUCAGUUCAAAUCUUACCUCUUCCUGGAAGUCCUCCAGGAUCUUUUUUUCCCCCAGGAGUUCAAUGGCUCCUUACUUGGGGUUCAGAUUGUAUAUCUCCCUCACAGCACUCACUUUUUUAAAACUUGGUUUCUUUUCAUUUCCUUUUCUUUCUCUUUCUUUCUUUACUUUCCUUCUCCUCCCUCCUUUCCUCCCUUCCUCCCUUCCUCCCUCUCUCCCUCCCUCCUUCCCUCUUUUCUCCCUUUCCUUCCCUUCCCUCCCUUCCUCCCUCCUUUCUUUCUUCUUUCUUUUUUUUCUUUUUUGGUAGCAGAGAUUGAACCUAGGGAAGCUUAACCACUGAGUCACAUUCCUAGUUCUUUUUAUUUUGAGGUCUCGCUAAGUUGCUUAGGGCCUCACUAAGUUGCUGAGGCUGGCUUUGAACUUGUGACCCUCCUGCCUCAGUCUCCCAAGUUGUGGGGAUUAUAGGUGUGCACCAACAUGCCCAGCUGAUUUCUUUUAUUUUAUAUGAAGAGAAAGUAUAAUACAAUGCUCAAGAGCUUCCAGAUCAAAUUAACUUGGAUUAAAAUUCUGGAUCCACUUACAUCCUGAGUUUAAUUUCUUGGGAUCUCAUUGUUUUUGUAGUAAAAUGGGGAUGCAAUACCCACUUCAUACUGGGAGGAAUGAGUAAUAAGCCCAGAGUUCUUUGCACACGACACACCAGGCACAUAGUAAGUAUUCCUUCUAGAAGUUACAUGUCGCACUCACCAUGCUGAGCCGGAGGGCAG